Pecten maximus is the source of this 1677-nucleotide long non-coding RNA. RefSeq lists it as uncharacterized. The transcript has 2 exons. The record is from RefSeq and is a predicted model, not a curated record. NCBI's taxonomy places the organism in Eukaryota, Metazoa, Mollusca, Bivalvia, Pectinida, Pectinidae.
AUCAAAUACAGAAAGGUCACAUCCUUUAAUUCAAAAUGGUCACUUCACAGACAUAAUACAGUUACGUAGAUGAACGAAGCAGAUGAACUACGGACAAUAUCGCUGAACAUUGUGUGUGAAUUGUCCCCUCGGUCAAUCGUUUACAAGUACGUUCGCCGAAUGAUUCGGUUGUUAAUCUAAAAGGAUCUCGAGGUGGCAUUCAGAUGGAUCUGAACGAAAUAAUCUCAUAAGAAAUUAAAUCAGCUUAGCACAGUUUAAAACGUCUGACGAGUGAAAAUCAUAUGUAUGUGGUCUAAUAUCAGACAUAUAAUAUAUGUCCCUGCUAAAAUGGACCAUGGUUUUGGAAUUGGUGCUUUUUAAAACGCAGAGGCGGGGAAAUGUUAAACAAGAGGUCUAUAGGCCUAACGUUCACGUGAUUGGUCAUUAUUGCUCUACAUAUAAAACAAGAGGUCUAUAGGCCUAACGUUCACGUGAUUGGUCAUUAUUGCUCUACAUCUAAAACAAGAGGUCUAUAGGCCUACAAUGUAACUAUCACGUGAUUGGUCAUUAUUGCUCUACAUCUAAAACAAGACACAUACCAUGAAGAAUUGGAUUUCAUUUCACUUAGAAGAUAUAUUUCGAUAUAUUUACAGUCUUGACAAAGAAGAUACUCUAGGCAUUUAGAUACAAUCCCUUUUAUCCUUGUUUCUAUUGAUAUUCCCUUGACACCCAUCCUCUACAAACCGCACAGCUUUAUAUCCCCAAAAGUUUUAUGUGUAAUCAAUUUGCAUAUAUCAUAACAUUGAAGACUUCAUUAGAAUGUAAAGGUCACGUGAGACCACAGUUCAAAUGGUUUGCAAUGUACGGCCAUCUUGUAAAUUCAACGAACUUUUAAGAUAGUGAGCAACUCUUGUUGUGACAUUCACACCAUGUCUCAUAACAAUGAAACUGUUGACAUUCGAGCUAUGGUUAGAACAUACUUUAAAGAUGGCGGCCAUCUUGUAUUUUCUUACUUAAAACAUAGAAAUGUCAGGACCUUUUACUGGUCUUUCCAAACAAGUUUAUUCUAUACCUAUUUAGUAUUGAUAUAAAUGAGAUAAUCAAAUCACAAUACUGAUGACCAUCCUGUUUUACCAUGCAUUAUUGUUAUUUAUUUGUUAAUGCUCAUUCUCUGCACUGUACUGUUUACGAGAAAAAAACAAUUAUCAUUGAGAAUAGUUUACGAACGACGGACGAUGCCCAUAACAAUAGCUCGCACGAGCCUACGGCUCAGGUCAACUAACAAAAGACAACAAUCUUCGACUUUUAUGCCAUUUAUUCGGACACUGAAAAAAUGUUUCAAAAUAAAUAUUGCUGUCGAACUGAUACAUUACAAACGGCAUUACAACAUUUCACUGCUUUGGAACAUAUACGAAAUCUAUAAUAUGAAUUUGAGUUCCUCGAUCAAAAUUUUACAGUACCAAAUGAAAAAGAAUUAUGACGAAAGUAGAACGAUAGCCAUUAUUAAGAUUGAAAACUAAUGAAAGUCAUUAUCACAUUAUCACUAUUGAUGCCAUAUCUUGAUAAGUGCGACAAUACCACUUCUGUAGUUCCCGAAGUUGAAUGAUGAUGGUUAUUACCGAUAUGAGAUUGUGCAUUGUCGCCAAGCUUCCCAGAGUUAUCGUUCCUUUGACCAGAAACUUUAAAAACAUUUUCAAA